Molecule: ribosomal RNA, 253 nt
Filed under: uncultured bacterium
Lineage: Bacteria
Description: partial 16S ribosomal RNA
Rfam family: Bacterial small subunit ribosomal RNA
Source: RNAcentral
AACGUAGGAGACAAACGUUAUCCGGAGUUACUGGGCGUAAAGGGCGUGCAGGUGGUCUGUUAAGUCUGGCGUGAAAGCUCCUGGCUAAACCGGGAGAGGUCGUUGGAUACUGGCGGACUAGAGGACGGUAGAGGCGUGUGGAAUUCCGGGUGUAGUGGUGAAAUGCGUAGAGAUCCGGAGGAACACCAGUGGCGAAGGCGACACGCUGGGCCGUACCUGACACUGAGGUGCGAAAGCGUGGGGAGCAAACAGG